GAGUUUGAUCGUGGCUCAGAUUGAACGCUGGCGGCAGGCCUAACACAUGCAAGUCGAGCGGAUGACGGGAGCUUGCUCCUUGAUUCAGCGGCGGACGGGUGAGUAAUGCCUGGGAAUCUGCCUGGUAGUGGGGGACAACGUUUCGAAAGGAACGCUAAUACCGCAUACGUCCUACGGGAGAAAGCAGGGGACCUUCGGGCCUUGCGCUAUCAGAUGAGCCUAGGUCGGAUUAGCUAGUUGGUGGGGUAAUGGCUCACCAAGGCGACGAUCCGUAACUGGUCUGAGAGGAUGAUCAGUCACACUGGAACUGAGACACGGUCCAGACUCCUACGGGAGGCAGCAGUGGGGAAUAUUGGACAAUGGGCGAAAGCCUGAUCCAGCCAUGCCGCGUGUGUGAAGAAGGUCUUCGGAUUGUAAAGCACUUUAAGUUGGGAGGAAGGGCAGUAAGUUAAUACCUUGCUGUUUGACGUUACCGACAGAAUAAGCACGGCUAACUCUGUG
This 501-nucleotide ribosomal RNA is filed under the name bacterium enrichment culture clone ALO1_GLFRUDD03GTMQC. RNAcentral's name for it is "bacterial SSU rRNA". It matches the Rfam family "Bacterial small subunit ribosomal RNA", at positions 9 to 507 of the family's 1533-position model. The record is from RNAcentral.